GCUAAUACCGCAUAAGCGCACAGCUUCGCAUGAAGCAGUGUGAAAAACUCUGGUGGUAUACGAUGGAUCCGCGUCUGAUUAGCUAGUUGGCGGGGUAAAGGCCCACCAAGGCGACGAUCAGUAGCCGGCCUGAGAGGGUGAACGGCCACAUUGGGACUGAGACACGGCCCAAACUCCUACGGGAGGCAGCAGUGGGGAAUAUUGCACAAUGGGGGAAACCCUGAUGCAGCGACGCCGCGUGAGUGAAGAAGUAUUUCGGUACGUAAAGCUCUAUCAGCAGGGAAGAAAAUGACGGUACCUGACUAAGAAGCCCCGGCUAACUACGUGCCAGCAGCCGCGGUAAUACGUAGGGGGCAAGCGUUAUCCGGAUUUACUGGGUGUAAAGGGAGCGUAGACGGCAGCGCAAGUCUGGAGUGAAAUCCCAUGGCUUAACCAUGGAACUGCUUUGGAAACUGUGCAGCUAGAGUGCAGGAGAGGUAAGCGGAAUUCCUAGUGUAGCGGUGAAAUGCGUAGAUAUUAGGAGGAACACCAGUGGCGAAGGCGGCUUACUGGACUGUAACUGACGUUGAGGCUCGAAAGCGUGGGGAGCAAACAGGAUUAGAUACCCUGGUAGUCCACGCUGUAAACGAUGAUUUACUAGGUGU
This 644-nucleotide ribosomal RNA is filed under the name uncultured bacterium. RNAcentral describes it as "bacterial SSU rRNA". It matches the Rfam family "Bacterial small subunit ribosomal RNA", at positions 162 to 823 of the family's 1533-position model. The record is from RNAcentral.